This 263-nucleotide unclassified non-coding RNA is filed under the name uncultured fungus. Its description in RNAcentral is "partial contains 5.8S ribosomal RNA, internal transcribed spacer 2, and large subunit ribosomal RNA". The stretch from base 1 to 52 matches the Rfam family "5.8S ribosomal RNA", at positions 103 to 154 of the family's 154-position model. Lineage: Eukaryota; Fungi. The record is from RNAcentral.
AACGCACAUUGCGCCCCCUGGUAUUCCGGGGGGCAUGCCUGUCCGAGCGUCAUUGCUGCCCAUCAAGCCCGGCUUGUGUGUUGGGCCGCCGUCCCCCCUUCUCUCGGGGGGACGGGCCCGAAAGGCAGCGGCGGCACCGCGUCCGGUCCUCGAGCGUAUGGGGCUCUGUCACCCGCUCUGGAGGCCCGGCCGGCGCCCGCCGACCCCCAACCUUGUAUAACCAGGUUGACCUCGGAUCAGGUAGGGAUACCCGCUGAACUUAA